Molecule: long non-coding RNA, 404 nt
Filed under: Nicotiana benthamiana
Lineage: Eukaryota; Viridiplantae; Streptophyta; Magnoliopsida; Solanales; Solanaceae
Description: long non-coding RNA (NBEN_LNC005140)
Source: RNAcentral
CCCUAACUUGGUCUGUUGCAACAAGCUCAUCAACUGAUCAUACUGGUGUCUGCUCAACCCUGGUAUCACAGAGCUGUGACCAUCUAUGUGUGUAACAUGUUGAUGGCUGGCAGGAGGAUCCCCAAGAGGAACAGACAAUUUAGGAUUUCCAUGAUUAACAGACACACAUUCCUCACCAUUGGAGACAUGAGCAGCUGCAGAUUUCCUUCCCUUGUUGUAAUUUAUGUUUGAGGAAACCCAUGGAUCUUGUAGCACUUAUCAAUUAAGUGCCCAGAUUUCUUGCAGUAUCUGCAAAAUAAGGUUACUCUAUUUUGCUCAAAAUUAACUCUGGGCCUGAAAAUAGGGGGUCUAGGCACUGUGGCCUGAUUAAACCCAAUUGAGUGCUUGUUUGCAUUAGCAUUAAA